Leptinotarsa decemlineata (Colorado potato beetle) is the source of this 420-nucleotide long non-coding RNA. Lineage: Eukaryota; Metazoa; Arthropoda; Insecta; Coleoptera; Chrysomelidae. The record is from RefSeq and is a predicted model, not a curated record.
UUCAAAGCUGAAGUGGACCAAGUCCAUAAUAGCGAUGUUUUUCGAUAGACCCUGCAUGAUACUCUUCAAAGGUCAUUAUUUUCAGUGCAGUAAUGAAGCAAGUCCUUACUAAGUUUUUUAAGCUAUAGAUGGAGCGGAUGUAUUUCUCCUGAGAAUUAUGUCGCAUAUCGUUCAGAGCAUUAGUGAACCAAGUCCAAGUUACAUUGUUCACGCUUUUUCUGUGUGAGAAUAUGAGUGUUAUGGCGAAUACCAAUGAAGAUGAAGUUUCAGAUUCAGAAGAUGAUGUACCCCUGAUUCAAUUUUUACAACCCAUCCAAAGACUACGUACAGCAGAAGUUCGAAAUGACAAACGAUGCAGUGGUUCGCGAAGUAGGAGAACGUGGUCGGAAAAGAGCUCGAAACGAAGCGAAUUGGGACAGG